AUUGAACGCUGGCGGAAUGCUUUACACAUGCAAGUCGAACGGCAGCAUAGAGAGCUUGCUCUCUGAUGGCGAGUGGCGAACGGGUGAGUAAUAUAUCGGAACGUACCCAGUAAUGGGGGAUAACGAAUCGAAAGAUUCGCUAAUACCGCAUACGCCCUACAGGGGAAAGCGGGGGAUCGUAAGACCUCGCGUUAUUGGAGCGGCCGAUAUCUGAUUAGCUAGUUGGUGAGGUAAAGGCUCACCAAGGCGACGAUCAGUAGCCGGUCUGAGGGCACAACCAGCCACACUGGAACUGAGACACGGUCCAGACUCCUACGGGAGGCAGCAGUGGGGAAUUUUGGACACUGGGGGCAACCCUGAUCCAGCCAUUCCGCGUGAGUGAAGAAGGCCUUCGGGUUGUAAAGCUCUUUCGCAAGGGAAGAAAACUUAUCUACUAAUACUAGGUGAGGCUGACGGUACCUUGAUAAGAAGCACCGGCUAACUACGUGCCAGCAGCCGCCGUAA
RNAcentral lists this ribosomal RNA (504 nucleotides) under uncultured bacterium. RNAcentral's name for it is "partial 16S ribosomal RNA". It matches the Rfam family "Bacterial small subunit ribosomal RNA", at positions 30 to 523 of the family's 1533-position model. The record is from RNAcentral.